CCAGUGCUCCACUGCUCCACUGACGUAUAUAUAUAUGUAUGUAUAUACACCUGGGCACAAGCACAAGGAAAAGAGACGGAAUGAUCCACUCGACAUUUCGACGGUACAGCCAGAUGGGGGCAAAAUUGAAGAGAAAAGAGAGAGAAAGUGUGCCUGUGUGAAAAAGGACGAUAGUUACAUCGUAUCCUCUGUUAGCGAUGAGUGAGGGUAAAAAAGUUAGGAGGAAUGCCAAUAUGAUGGGAUCCACUCGGAAAUAAGAUAAGAAUGUAGGGUUCAUUCAUGUCAUGCCAAGUUGCAAGUAUCCACAAUACGGCAUAGAGAGAAGAAGAUGGCCAGAUUCUUAAAAAAAAAAAGAAAAAGCGAG
This 364-nucleotide small RNA is filed under the name Histoplasma capsulatum var. duboisii H88. RNAcentral describes it as "Histoplasma capsulatum H88 hypothetical RNA". Lineage: Eukaryota; Fungi; Ascomycota; Eurotiomycetes; Onygenales; Ajellomycetaceae. The record is from RNAcentral.